RNAcentral lists this transfer RNA (73 nucleotides) under Paramuricea clavata. It matches the Rfam family "tRNA". Rfam says of the family: Transfer RNA (tRNA) molecules are approximately 80 nucleotides in length. Lineage: Eukaryota; Metazoa; Cnidaria; Anthozoa; Malacalcyonacea; Plexauridae. The record is from Rfam by way of RNAcentral.
GAGCGCGUAGCUCAGUUGGCAGAGCAUUGGGCUAGUAUUCCAAAGGUCGUAGGUUCGAUUCCCACCGUGGUCA